UAACUAAACAUUUCACUAUCGUUACAUAAACGCUCUGCUGAGGUCAUUCUAAGAAAAUCUACAAACAACUGUAAACUGUAAAACGAUGGAAAACAGCAAUGAGUUACAGAACAGGUGGCGCAGUUCCGUAUAAUAGUGUGUGUGACAACUGUAUAAAGUUAAAAAUGACACCUAACACCAAUACAUCGCUGAUCUUGCCUACGUCACUAUUUGUGUUUACAAUUUAAAAUUCCUUGACGCAAAAGCAAAAAGUGCGCGAGUUCAGAAGUUUUUCCACUUUAUUCCGUACAGUUUUAACAAUUUCUGAUAAAUUUUGAUAGAAUGCCGCAGUGUGCAGUCAAUGUGUGCAAGAUAACGACACAGGAAGCGAAGAACAGUGAUAUUUGCAUUUUCACACUUUCCCCAAAGAACCUAGCAAGUGAUCGAAAUGGGUGAAAUUUUGUGGGCUCAUCAAAGAUCCGGGUACAUCGCUUUAUGUAUGCUCCCAGCAUCUCACAUCUGACGAUUUUGUGAUCAAUGCUUCGAUCCGAAAAUCGUUGACAGGUGCAGAUCGAAAUAGUCUGGUCCCAGGUGCUUUUCCCACUAUUCGUACUCCGGAAUCGUCAUGCGUUGAGAGUAGAGGUCGUUCCCAACGUUAUCAACGGAACGAGCGAAAGGAACUUGUGGCUAACCUUUUGCAAAAUCACUGUUCACUGGAGGCGGAGAAAUCGAAAAACGUUAAUAGUUGAAAAUGGAUCUUCUUGCGAUGUUUCACCGUUCCAAAGGAACAGAACAUACGUGAUUCCGACUCAAACAUGGAUGUUUUGUUAGAGGCGAUUUAGCUGGCCAAUCCCUCUACCGCUACGAAGUUCAGAUGUUGAUAGCCUGAACGAUUCCGGUUGGUCAGAGUUCGUCAGUCAUGAUAGGCUCAAUUCUCCUUAAGUCAUGUUAGAGGAAGCGAAACUUUAUACUUAUCAAAGGCGUGGAGUGCUGCAAGCUAGGUGGGCGGAUCAAGUGCGUAUCGAUUUGGCGAGCGUGGGGCAGAACCGAGGAUGGAGAGAUGCGACCGCAAACCGACGUUUUCUCGGCCAUUACGCUGCCAUGUUAAGAGAUGCCUUUCCUCUUCGAUGAAUUAUUCCUCGAAGCGGGUUAGAUAUGAAAACAAGGAUAAAGAGAGAAGGAAUGUUAGUGAUUGUUACAUGCUUUAUGGCAGUAUUGGCGUACAUU
This is a long non-coding RNA of Aedes aegypti (yellow fever mosquito), 1206 nucleotides long. RefSeq lists it as uncharacterized. The record is from RefSeq and is a predicted model, not a curated record. The transcript is spliced from 3 exons. Lineage: Eukaryota; Metazoa; Arthropoda; Insecta; Diptera; Culicidae.